RNAcentral lists this ribosomal RNA (1431 nucleotides) under uncultured organism. RNAcentral's name for it is "16S ribosomal RNA". It matches the Rfam family "Bacterial small subunit ribosomal RNA". The record is from RNAcentral.
CAGGCUUAACACAUGCAAGUCGAGGGGCAGCAUUUCAGUUUGCUUGCAAACUGGAGAUGGCGACCGGCGCACGGGUGAGUAACACGUAUCCAACCUGCCGAUAACUCGGGGAUAGCCUUUCGAAAGAAAGAUUAAUACCCGAUGGUAUAAUCAGACCGCAUGGUCUUGUUAUUAAAGAAUUUCGGUUAUCGAUGGGGAUGCGUUCCAUUAGGCAGUUGGUGAGGUAACGGCUCACCAAACCUUCGAUGGAUAGGGGUUCUGAGAGGAAGGUCCCCCACAUUGGAACUGAGACACGGUCCAAACUCCUACGGGAGGCAGCAGUGAGGAAUAUUGGUCAAUGGGCGAGAGCCUGAACCAGCCAAGUAGCGUGAAGGAUGACUGCCCUAUGGGUUGUAAACUUCUUUUAUAAAGGAAUAAAGUUUUCCACGUGUGGAAUUUUGUAUGUACCAUAUGAAUAAGGAUCGGCUAACUCCGUGCCAGCAGCCGCGGUAAUACGGAGGAUCCGAGCGUUAUCCGGAUUUAUUGGGUUUAAAGGGAGCGUAGGUGGACAGUUAAGUCAGUUGUGAAAGUUUGCGGCUCAACCGUAAAAUUGCAGUUGAUACUGGCUGUCUUGAGUACAGUAGAGGUGGGCGGAAUUCGUGGUGUAGCGGUGAAAUGCUUAGAUAUCACGAAGAACUCCGAUUGCGAAGGCAGCUCACUGGACUGCAACUGACACUGAUGCUCGAAAGUGUGGGUAUCAAACAGGAUUAGAUACCCUGGUAGUCCACACAGUAAACGAUGAAUACUCGCUGUUUGCGAUAUACAGUAAGCGGCCAAGCGAAAGCAUUAAGUAUUCCACCUGGGGAGUACGCCGGCAACGGUGAAACUCAAAGGAAUUGACGGGGGCCCGCACAAGCGGAGGAACAUGUGGUUUAAUUCGAUGAUACGCGAGGAACCUUACCCGGGCUUAAAUUGCAUUUGAAUAUAUUGGAAACAGUAUAGCCGUAAGGCAAAUGUGAAGGUGCUGCAUGGUUGUCGUCAGCUCGUGCCGUGAGGUGUCGGCUUAAGUGCCAUAACGAGCGCAACCCUUAUCUUUAGUUACUAACAGGUCAUGCUGAGGACUCUAGAGAGACUGCCGUCGUAAGAUGUGAGGAAGGUGGGGAUGACGUCAAAUCAGCACGGCCCUUACGUCCGGGGCUACACACGUGUUACAAUGGGGGGUACAGAAGGCAGCUACCUGGUGACAGGAUGCUAAUCCCAAAAGCCUCUCUCAGUUCGGAUCGAAGUCUGCAACCCGACUUCGUGAAGCUGGAUUCGCUAGUAAUCGCGCAUCAGCCAUGGCGCGGUGAAUACGUUCCCGGGCCUUGUACACACCGCCCGUCAAGCCAUGAAAGCCGGGGGUACCUGAAGUACGUAACCGCAAGGAGCGUCCUAGGGUAAAACUGGUAAUUG